UGUCCUCUUUGUUUCAAAGUUAAACUAUGAGUAAGUUCCUCUCAAAGUUAGUUUGGCCUACACCCAAGAAUGAACAAGGACAGGUUAGACUCUAAUCUAGAAAUCUAGAAGCAAGAUGGAGUUGGUUAGGGCAGAUUUUUUUUUUUUUUUGAGACAUAGUUUCGCUCUGUCAUCCAGGCUGGAGUGCAGCGGCGCGAACUCUGGCUCACUGCAAGCCCCGCCUCCCAGGUUCGCGCCAUUUUCCUGCCUCAGCCUCCUGAGUAGCUGGGUCUACAGGCGCCCGCCAUCACGCCCGGCUAAUUUUUUGUGCUUUUAAUAGAGAUGGGGUUUCACCGUGUUAGCCAGGAUGGUCUUGAUCUCCUGACCUCAUGAUCCGCCCUCCUCGGCCUCCCAAAGUGCUGGGAUUACAGGUGUGAGUCACCGCGCUCGGCCAGGGCAAAUCUCUUUAACUAUUAUAAUUUUCUCAGUUAUAAUCUUGCCAUGGUGGUUUCAAAAGGUGACUGGAAGAAAGCGGAAGGAAUGCUUGCCUCAUCUUGCAGACAUCAGGUGCAUUCCUGAGAAGCUACAGGUGCACAACCUUAGUCAGGCUCUGGGGAUACAGAAGUAACAAGAAGACCAGACCCUUGUUCCAAUGGAGGAGACAUCCUGGGACAUUGUCUAAAAACCAACCUGCUCCAAAUCUUAUCUCAGGCUCUGCUUUCAAAAGAACUCAAACCAGAUACAAGAUGAAUAAUGAAAUCUACUUGGUUUCAAUGAGGGUUACACAGAAGACAUCUGCUCAGUCUUCUACAUAAUAGCUCUUCAGAGACUUGAAGGGAAUUGUCAUGAGUCCUGAGACAUCUCUUCUCCAAGAUAAAAAGCCCUCAUCUUCAGUGAACACACGCUCAAGAUUCAUUUCAAAUGCCACCACCUCUUGAAAGCCUCCCUUGCUCUCUCUGGAAAGAGCUAAGCAUACCUUCUUCAGAGCUCUUCUGCUGUCUCAGCCAGCCCUUCCUUGCAUCUUUUAUCCCAAUACACUGUCAUUACAUGUUUAUAUUCAUUUGCUUGCCCAACUAGCCUGUUAUCUUCAGGGGUCCUGGCAGAUUUAUCUUUGUUUUCUGUUGGUGCAUACUUAUGGCUGAAAAAGCAGCUUGGGGUCCCUCAAAAAUAUAAACAUAGAAUUGCCAUAUAAUCUAGUAAUUCUACCUCUGGGUAUACUCACAAAAGAAUUCAAAGAAGGGUCUUGAAGAUAUAUUCGUACACCUGUGUUUAUAGCAGUAUUAUUCAUGAUAGCCAAAAAGUGGAAGCAAACCAACCUCUGUCCUUUAGAAGAUGAACAGAUAAACAAAAUGUGGCAUAUGCAUACGAUAAAAUAUUAUUUGGCUGGGUGUGGUGGCUCACUCCUGUAAUCCCAGCACUUUGGGAGGCCAAGGUGGGUGGAUCACUGGAGGUCAGGAGUUUGAGACCAGCCUGGCCAACAUGGUGAAGCCCUAUCACUACUAAAAAUACAAAAAUUAGCCGGGCAUGGUGGCACGUGCCUAUAUAUAUAUAUAUAUAUAUAUAUAUAUAUAUAUAUAUAUAUAAAAUACUUGGCAAUGGAAAUUAGUUCCUCUAAGCCUCAGUUUUUACUUCUUUAAAAUGGGCAUAGUCUAUGUGACCAUAGACUUGAUUUAAAAAUCCAUGAGAUAGUCAAAAGCUCUUACCAGGAUGUACAGUAAAACAAUUUGCUUACACAUGCUACAAGAUGUAUGAACCUUGAAGACAUUAUGCUAAGUGAACUAUGCCAGUCACAAAAAGACAAAUACUGUAUAAUCUCACUUAUAUAAAGUAUCUAGCAUAGUCAAAUUCACAAAGAAAGUAGCAUGGUGGUUACCAAGCGCUGGGAGAAGAGAGGAGUGGGGAGUUAGUGUUUAAUGGGACAGAGUUUCCGUUUUGCAAGAUGUAAAGAGUUCUGGAGAUGGAUGGUGGUGAUGGCUGUACAACAAUACAAAUGUGCUUAAUAUCACUAAACUGUACAUUGAAAAUGAUUAAGGUAGUAACUUUUAUAUGUAUUUCACCACAAUAAACGUAAUAAAAAAUAAAAUAAUUGCUGCUGAAUAAUUGAAUGAAUGAGUUUAUGUUUUAACUGAAAAAAGUAAUACCUGUUCAUCUUUGCAGAUGCUUUGCUCAGUGGAAGAAGAUAAUUUGAUGAAGGCAAGGCCAUUUCUGGUACUCCUAAAUCACACCAUUUUAAAAGCUACUUAUGUGGCAUCCACCCAGAACCUGUUUUAGUGAGAACAAAGGUGCCUUCAGCAGUUCUAAGAGGUCUGUCUAAACCCUAGUUUCUUUUGUUCAUAUUUUCUUUUUGAAAACUAAGCUCUAUCGAUUGGCCCAACAAUACUGCAGGCUUGGAGGGAGAUGCAGCCAACUUUACUACUGCAGUUAGUAGGAGACACUUCCAGUGGAAUACAACUUUCCAGUGAGACGAUGACCCCAUCUGUGUACUGUUACAUUUAUAGGGGAUAAUCUUCUACAAGAGAUCCAGAUUUCAAUCUCAAUUGCCAAUAAGUCUGUAUGUCCUUAGGUAAUCCCUGUCCCUUCUCAUCGAAUAUCAGCUUCACCAUCCGGAAACAAAGGAGCAGAUUUUGAU
RNAcentral lists this long non-coding RNA (2608 nucleotides) under Homo sapiens (human). Its description in RNAcentral is "HSALNT0227291". Lineage: Eukaryota; Metazoa; Chordata; Mammalia; Primates; Hominidae. The record is from RNAcentral.